GACGAAGGGUGCUAGCGUUGUUCGGAAUUACUGGGCGUAAAGCGCGUGUAGGCGGUUAUUUAAGUCUGGUGUGAAAGCCUUGAGCUCAACUCAAGAAAUGCACUCGAUACUGGGUGACUUGAGGACCGGAGAGGAUAGUGGAAUUCCCAGUGUAGUGGUGAAAUACGUAGAGAUUGGGAAGAACACCAGUGGCGAAGGCGGCUAUCUGGACGGUUUCUGACGCUAAGACGCGAAAGCGUGGGGAGCAAACAGG
Molecule: ribosomal RNA, 253 nt
Filed under: uncultured bacterium
Lineage: Bacteria
Description: partial 16S ribosomal RNA
Rfam family: Bacterial small subunit ribosomal RNA
Source: RNAcentral